RNAcentral lists this ribosomal RNA (255 nucleotides) under uncultured bacterium. Its description in RNAcentral is "partial 16S ribosomal RNA". It matches the Rfam family "Bacterial small subunit ribosomal RNA", at positions 524 to 776 of the family's 1533-position model. The record is from RNAcentral.
UACGUAGGGUGCGAGCGUUAAUCGGAAUUACUGGCGUAAAGGGCGCGUAGGCGGUCAGCACAAGUCAGUUGUGAAAUCUCCGGGCUUAACCCGGAAAGGUCAACUGAUACUGUGCGACUAGAGUGCGGGAAGGGGCAACUGGAAUUCUCGGUGUAGCGGUGAAAUGCGUAGAUAUCGAGAGGAACACCUGCGGCGAAGGCGGGUUGCUGGGCCGACACUGACGCUGGAUGCGCGAAAGCCAGGGGAGCGAACGGG